GACGAACGCUGGCGGCGUGCUUAACACAUGCAAGUCGAACGGAAAGGCCCUGCUUUUGUGGGGUGCUCGAGUGGCGAACGGGUGAGUAACACGUGAGUAACCUGCCCUUGACUUUGGGAUAACUUCAGGAAACUGGGGCUAAUACCGGAUAGGAGCUCCUGCUGCAUGGGGGGGGUUGGAAAGUUUCGGCGGUUGGGGAUGGACUCGCGGCUUAUCAGCUGGUUGGGGGGGUAGUGGCUUACCAAGGCUUUGACGGGUAGCCGGCCUGGGAGGGUGACCGGCCACAUUGGGACUGAGAUACGGCCCGGACUCCAACGGGAGGAAGGAGUGGGGAAUAUUGCACAAUGGGCGGAGGCCUGAUGCAGCAACGCCGCGUGCGGGAUGACGGCCUUCGGGUUGUAAACCGCUUUCGCCUGUGACGAAGCGUGAGGGACGGUAAUGGGUAAAGAAGCACCGGCUACCUACGG
This 467-nucleotide ribosomal RNA is filed under the name uncultured bacterium. RNAcentral describes it as "partial 16S ribosomal RNA". It matches the Rfam family "Bacterial small subunit ribosomal RNA", at positions 28 to 506 of the family's 1533-position model. The record is from RNAcentral.